This 907-nucleotide ribosomal RNA is filed under the name Trichoderma viride. RNAcentral's name for it is "eukaryotic LSU rRNA". The stretch from base 309 to 907 matches the Rfam family "Eukaryotic large subunit ribosomal RNA", at positions 1 to 623 of the family's 3401-position model. Lineage: Eukaryota; Fungi; Ascomycota; Sordariomycetes; Hypocreales; Hypocreaceae. The record is from RNAcentral.
UCUGGCAUCGAUGAAGAACGCAGCGAAAUGCGAUAAGUAAUGUGAAUUGCAGAAUUCAGUGAAUCAUCGAAUCUUUGAACGCACAUUGCGCCCGCCAGUAUUCUGGCGGGCAUGCCUGUCCGAGCGUCAUUUCAACCCUCGAACCCCUCCGGGGGGUCGGCGUUGGGGAUCGGGAACCCCUAAGACGGGAUCCCGGCCCCGAAAUACAGUGGCGGUCUCGCCGCAGCCUCUCAUGCGCAGUAGUUUGCACAACUCGCACCGGGAGCGCGGCGCGUCCACGUCCGUAAAACACCCAACUUCUGAAAUGUUGACCUCGGAUCAGGUAGGAAUACCCGCUGAACUUAAGCAUAUCAAUAAGCGGAGGAAAAGAAACCAACAGGGAUUGCCCCAGUAACGGCGAGUGAAGCGGCAACAGCUCAAAUUUGAAAUCUGGCCCCUAGGGUCCGAGUUGUAAUUUGUAGAGGAUGCUUUUGGUGAGGUGCCGCCCGAGUUCCCUGGAACGGGACGCCGCAGAGGGUGAGAGCCCCGUCUGGCUGGCCACCGAGCCUCUGUAAAGCUCCUUCGACGAGUCGAGUAGUUUGGGAAUGCUGCUCAAAAUGGGAGGUAUAUGUCUUCUAAAGCUAAAUAUUGGCCAGAGACCGAUAGCGCACAAGUAGAGUGAUCGAAAGAUGAAAAGCACCUUGAAAAGAGGGUUAAACAGUACGUGAAAUUGUUGAAAGGGAAGCGCUUGUGACCAGACUUGGGCGCGGCGGAUCAUCCGGGGUUCUCCCCGGUGCACUUCGCCGUGUUCAGGCCAGCAUCAGUUCGGCGCGGGGGAAAAAGGCUUCGGGAACGUGGCUCCUCCGGGAGUGUUAUAGCCCGUUGCAUAAUACCCUGCGCUGGACUGAGGACCGCGCAUCUGCAAGGA